Molecule: non-coding RNA, 24 nt
Filed under: Arabidopsis thaliana (thale cress)
Lineage: Eukaryota; Viridiplantae; Streptophyta; Magnoliopsida; Brassicales; Brassicaceae
Source: RNAcentral
AGUCUAACAAGAACUGGCCGAUGG